Molecule: ribosomal RNA, 440 nt
Filed under: uncultured bacterium
Lineage: Bacteria
Description: partial 16S ribosomal RNA
Rfam family: Bacterial small subunit ribosomal RNA
Source: RNAcentral
CCUACGGGAGACAGCAGUAGGGAAUAUUGCUCAAUGGGGGAAACCCUGAAGCAGCAACGCCGCGUGGAGGAUGAAGGUUUUCGGAUUGUAAACUCCUUUUGUUAGAGAAGAUAAUGACGGUAUCUAACGAAUAAGCACCGGCUAACUCCGUGCCAGCAGCCGCGGUUAUACGGAGGGUGCAAGCGUUACUCGGAAUCACUGGGCGUAAAGAGCGCGUAGGCGGGAUAGCAAGUCAGAUGUGAAAUCCUAUGGCUUAACCAUAGAACUGCAUUUGAAACUGUUAUUCUAGAGUAUGGGAGAGGUAGGUGGAAUUCUUGGUGUAGGGGUAAAAUCCGUAGAGAUCAAGAGGAAUACUCAUUGCGAAGGCGACCUGCUAGAACAUAACUGACGCUGAUGCGCGAAAGCAUGGGGAGCAAACAGGAUUAGAUACCCCUGUAGUC